This 1897-nucleotide ribosomal RNA is filed under the name human gut metagenome. Its description in RNAcentral is "bacterial LSU rRNA". It matches the Rfam family "Bacterial large subunit ribosomal RNA", at positions 1045 to 2826 of the family's 2925-position model. The record is from RNAcentral.
UCCCGAAGCGUGUGCUAAGUGGGAAAGGAUGUGGAGUCGCAUAGACAGCCAGGAGGUUGGCUCAGAAGCAGCCACCCUUGAAAGAGUGCGUAACAGCUCACUGGUCUAGUGGUUCCGCGCCGACAAUGUAGCGGGGCUCAAGCACACCACCGAAGACGCGGCAGUAUUUUGUACUGGGUAGGAGAGCGUCCCAUGAGGGGCGAAGCGGCCGUGUGAACGCGCCGUGGACUUCAUGGGAGUGAGAAUGCAGACAUGAGUAGCGAGAGACGGGUGAGGAUCCCGUCCGCUGGAUGACCAAGGGUUCCGGGGCCACGUUCGUCGUCCCCGGGUGAGUCGGGUCCUAAGGCGAGGCCGACAGGCGUAGUCGAAUGGAUGAACGGGUGGAUAUUCCCGUACCGACCAUGGACCGGCAAAACCGAGACGGUGAGUACUAACCUCCGCCUCGUGGUGGUUCCUUCCUUCGGGUUGGUGUCGCCGCGUGGUGUUGGGAGCGUAGCCGCAGUAGGUCAGCGCAGGGGUGACACGGAAUGGGAGCCGGCCGCGGAGGUGGUUUUCCGUGGUCAAGCACGCAGCCAGUCAUGUAGGCAAAUCCGCAUGGCGUGCAUGGCGAGGUGUGAUGAUGGGAGCCGUUAUGGUUCGAUAUCCGGUUGUCCAGGCCGUCGAGAAAAGCCUCGGCGUGAGGGCCAUGGCCGCCCGUACCCCAAACCGACACUGGUGGUCAGGUAGAGAAUACCAAGGCGAUCGAGCGAAUCCUGGUCAAGGAACUCGGCAAAUCACUCCCGUGCCUUCGGUAUAAGGGAGACCCGCUGGGGUGAACCGGCUAGCCCGGGGAGCUUUGGUGGGUGGCACAGACCAGGGGGUAGCGACUGUUUACCAAAAACACAGGUGCAUGCGAAGGCGAAAGCCGCUGUAUAUGCACUGACGCCUGCCCGGUGCCGGAAGGUUAAGAGGAUCCGUCAGUCCUUCGGGAUGAAGCGGUGAAUUCAAGCCCCGGUAAACGGCGGUGGUAACUAUAACCAUCCUAAGGUAGCGAAAUUCCUUGUCGGGUAAGUUCCGACCUGCACGAAUGGCGUAAUGAUGGCCAGGCUGUCUCCACCCGAGACUCAGUGAAAUUGAACUCGCUGUGAAGAUGCAGUGUACCCGCGGCAAGACGGAAAGACCCCGUGAACCUUUACUAUAGCUUGACACUGAACAUUGAGCCUUGAUGUGUAGGAUAGGUGGGAGGCUUUGAAGUGUGGACGCCAGUCUGCAUGGAGCCGACCUUGAAAUACCACCCUUUAAUGUUUGAUGUUCUAACGUUGACCCGUAAUCCGGGUUGCGGACAGUGUCUGGUGGGUAGUUUGACUGGGGCGGUCUCCUCCUAAAGAGUAACGGAGGAGCACGAAGGUUGGCUAAUCCUGGUCGGACAUCAGGAGGUUAGUGCAAUGGCAUAAGCCAGCUUGACUGCGAGCGUGACGGCGCGAGCAGGUGCGAAAGCAGGUCAUAGUGAUCCGGUGGUUCUGAAUGGAAGGGCCAUCGCUCAACGGAUAAAAGGUACUCCGGGGAUAACAGGCUGAUACCGCCCAAGAGUUCAUAUCGACGGCGGUGUUUGGCACCUCGAUGUCGGCUCAUCACAUCCUGGGGCUGAAGUAGGUCCCAAGGGUAUGGCUGUUCGCCAUUUAAAGUGGUACGCGAGCUGGGUUUAGAACGUCGUGAGACAGUUCGGUCCCUAUCUGCCGUGGGCGCUGGAGAACUGAGGGGGGCUGCUCCUAGUACGAGAGGACCGGAGUGGACGCAUCACUGGUGUUCGGGUUGUCAUGCCAAUGGCACUGCCCGGUAGCUAAAUGCGGAAGAGAUAAGUGCUGAAAGCAUCUAAGCACGAAACUUGCCCCGAGAUGAGUUCUCCCUGACUCCUUGA